CGGGCUUGAAUUGCAGGAGAACGAAACAGAGAUGUUGAGGUCCUUCGGGACUCCUGCGAAGGUGCUGCAUGGUUGUCGUCAGCUCGUGCCGUGAGGUGUCGGCUUAAGUGCCAUAACGAGCGCAACCCCUCUCCCCAGUUGCCAUCGGGUGAUGCCGGGCACUCUGGGGACACUGCCGCCGCAAGGUGCGAGGAAGGCGGGGAUGACGUCAAAUCAGCACGGCCCUUACGUCCGGGGCUACACACGUGUUACAAUGGCCGGCACAGAGCGCCGGUGCGGCGCGAGCCGCAUCCAAUCUUGAAAACCGGUCUCAGUUCGGACUGGGGUCUGCAACCCGACCCCACGAAGCUGGAUUCGCUAGUAAUCGCGCAUCAGCCACGGCGCGGUGAAUACGUUCCCGGGCC
RNAcentral lists this ribosomal RNA (404 nucleotides) under uncultured bacterium. RNAcentral's name for it is "bacterial SSU rRNA". It matches the Rfam family "Bacterial small subunit ribosomal RNA", at positions 976 to 1380 of the family's 1533-position model. The record is from RNAcentral.